Molecule: ribosomal RNA, 1556 nt
Filed under: uncultured bacterium
Lineage: Bacteria
Description: bacterial SSU rRNA
Rfam family: Bacterial small subunit ribosomal RNA
Source: RNAcentral
AGAGUUUGAUCCUGGCUCAGAACGAACGCUGGCGGCGUGGAUAAGACAUGCAAGUCGAGCGGAACAUCACGGGUAGCAAUAUUCGUGAUGUUCAGCGGCGCAAGGGUGCGUAACACGUGGGUAAUUUGCCAGGAAGUUUGGGAUAACUUGCUGAAAGGCGAGCUAAUACCGGAUGUGACUUUUGGGAGGCAUCUCUCGAAAUUCAAAGUUGGGGACCGUAAGGCCUGACGCUUCUUGAUAAGCCCGCGGUCUAUCAGCUAGUUGGUGAGGUAAUGGCUCACCAAGGCUAAGACGGAUAGCUGGUCUGAGAGGACGACCAGCCACACUGGAACUGAGACACGGUCCAGACACCUACGGGUGGCAGCAGUCGAGAAUUUUUCACAAUGGGCGAAAGCCUGAUGGAGCGACGCCGCGUGGGGGAUGAAUGGCUUCGGCCCGUAAACCCCUGUCAUUUGCGAACAAACCUUACCGGUUAACAACCGGUGAGCUGAUUGUAGCGAAAGAGGAAGGGACGGCUAACUCUGUGCCAGCAGCCGCGGUAAUACAGAGGUCCCGAGCGUUGUUCGGAUUCACUGGGCGUAAAGGGUGAGUAGGUGUGAGGUAGUCGGAUGUGAAAUCUCCGGGCUCACCCGGAAAUGGCAUUGGAAACUACCUUGCUUGAGGAUUUGAGGGGGGAUUGGAAUACUUGGUGUACAUGAAUGCGGUAAAUUUCAAGUGGGAACACCAUGCCAAGCGAAUCCCUUGAAAUAACCUGACACUGAGGCACCGAAAAGCUAAGGGGANGCAAACAGGGAUUAGAUUACCCUUGGUUAGUUCUCUAGCCCCUAAACCGGUGCUUGCUUGCUUGUUAAGAGGAAUCGACCCCUCUUGUGGCGGAGCUAACGCGUUAAGCAAGCCGCCUGGGAAGUACGGUCGCAAGAUUAAAACUCAAAGAAAUUGACGGGGGCCUGCACAAGCGGUGGAGUAUGUGGCUUAAUUCGAUGCAACGCGAAGAACCUUACCUGGCCUUGACAUGCAAGUAGUAGAACCCUGAAAGGGGGACGAGGUAGCAAUACCAGCUUGCACAGGUGCUGCAUGGCUGUCGUCAGCUCGUGUCGUGAGAUGUUGGGUUAAGUCCCGCAACGAGCGCAACCCCUGUGUCCUGUUGCCACUCGAACGAGAGUUCGAAGCACUCUGGACAGACUGCCUCAUUUUAAUGAGGAGGAAGGUGGGGAUGACGUCAAGUCAGUAUGGCCCUUACGGCCAGGGCUGCACACGUACUACAAUGCCCGGUACAAAGGGGAGCAAAACUGUAAGGUGGAGCAAAUCCCAGAAAACCGGGCUCAGUUCAGAUUGGAGUCUGCAACUCGACUCCAUGAAGCUGGAAUCGCUAGUAAUGGCGCAUCAGCUACGGCGCCGUGAAUACGUUCCCAGGCCUUGUACACACCGCCCGUCACAUCAUGAAAGCCGUUUGUACCCGAAGUCGCCCUUUAAAAGGUGCCGAAGGUAUGGAUGGUGAUUGGGAUGAAGUCGUAACAAGGUAGCCGUAGGGGAACCUGCGGCUGGAUCACCUCCUU